GUCAGAAGUUCUUAGUUACUCUAUUAGCUCAUUUUUGUAAUCACUAUAAUAUUUCUAACUUUCCAGAUGGCUAAAACUCACUGAAAUAUUGUGCGUGGACAAUUGAAAAAUAUUCUAUGAGCUAUUAAAAUGCUCUACAGAAAAAUAUUAUCUCAGUAGUUAAUAAUAGACUAUUUCUAAAAAAAACUAAAAUACUUAUUUCUUUUGCUAUUAACCCUAGUUCUGCAUUUCAGGUGCUUAUGCUGCUUGACUCAUUGCAACGUCCCUGGAAAGGUUUUCAUGAACUACCUACUCUUCAUUGGUAUUCACAGUCACAGGGCACUCCUUGAGAUUGUAAAUGAGCUGCCUCCAGUCCUCUCCAGUCCUUCCCUAUGGAAAUGAGUCUGCAUCUCCCAUUUCCAGAACAACACCCUACUGACUAGUCAUAGGAUGUUAUGGUGCAGGAUGCUCUGUGGUUCUUGGUGAAACACCUGUUGGAGCAGGGAACAGGUGACACAACACCCUUUUCCUAAUGCUACUGAAUAAGAAUAAGCUCUUGCUCAUCUUUACAGUUUGAAGGAGGUGCAGCAUCUUCAAGGAACAAGCUGAAGAGUGCCUCCUACCAGAAAGCCUUACCUCAAGAGCUGGUAGAGGAUUCAUGAAAAAGAGGGCAGAUUUAUAUUCCAGCUUUUGAACCAACAUCUUCUAUCUUUCAUACACAUGCUCUAGUGAGCAUUAAUACUGGGGACAAUCCUCACUGACUGUAACAUUAGAGUGUUCCUUUUUGCAUGAAACGAUUUAGACUUCAACUGAACCACACAGCAAGCGAGAUGCUCACUAGUCUGUUGGGAAGAAAAGUCACGAAUGGAAAUGGAGACUAGAAUUCAAAGAGAAGCUGUAUCUUGGUCUCCCAGAUUGUAAAUACUUGUCUAGAGGAGAAUUUAAUGUCCUGCUUAUUCAGCGCAAAACAUGAAUUUUAUAUUUUUCUCAUAAAAAACAAGCCCAUAAUAAAAAAAUCAUCAUGGCUCA
This 1008-nucleotide long non-coding RNA is filed under the name Anser cygnoides (Swan goose). Its description in RNAcentral is "lncRNA (ENSACDG00005002302.1)". The record is from RNAcentral. Lineage: Eukaryota; Metazoa; Chordata; Aves; Anseriformes; Anatidae.